Molecule: long non-coding RNA, 2674 nt
Organism: Vigna angularis (adzuki bean)
Lineage: Eukaryota; Viridiplantae; Streptophyta; Magnoliopsida; Fabales; Fabaceae
Exons: 2
Source: RefSeq, a predicted model, not a curated record
AUGUCAAGUUUCAUUAUAUAAGUAUCAGUGUGAAAUAUCAUAGUAAUACUUUUGUAUCAGUAUCAGUAAUAAUAACAGGAAGCCUUUUGUUCUCUGUUCUCUUCCUCUAUUUUCUGGUAUAUCGUAUCAAGAACAAUUUUUCUGGGGCUCCUUUUAAAGGAUUUCUUCUUCUACCUCUAUCACAUCCCUCCCUGUGUUCUAGAUAACUCUCUUUUCCAACCCAAUACGUUUAACACCCCGAUCACUUUGAAGCUUGAUGAUAACAACUUCUUGCCAUGGAAGCAACAACUCUAUGCCAUCAUUCAAGACCAAUUCUGCAUAUCUUUUUUCCAUGGCCAAGACAAACUUUUUCUUCCAUGGAUGUUAUGCGCCUCUACUCAAGUUUGGAAAUCUUGACAUAAAAAAGAUGUUACGCCCCUCUACUCAAGUUUGGAAAUCUUGACAUAAAAAGGUCGUGAUACUCUCGCUGCUGCGACUGGUGCUCCUAUAUCAACAAAAGAACACAUCGAAUGCAUCCUUUAUGGAUUAUCAGAAGGUUACAUGCCAUAUCAACAAAAGAACACAUCAAAUGCAUCCUUUAUGGAUUAUCAGAAGAUUACGAUGGUUUUGUAACCUCCAAAUCAUUUCAAGAAUGGAUCCUUGUACCUUUGAGGAUAUUGAGUCUCUCUUCUUAUCCCAGGAGGACGUCACAGGUUUGUUUAUCGACCCUCUGCUAAUCUUUCAUAGUCUUUUGCCAACGUUGUUUCCAAGAAUAACUACAAGAACUUCUUUGCCAAUAGUUUCAACAAGUUUCGACAGCCAAACAACUCCUUUCGACAACCUCGAUGGAACAACAAACUUACAAACACAUCUUCAUCAUCUACCACCUUUAGACAAAAGUAUCAGAUUUGUGGAAAACCAGACCAUAGUGCCAUAGAUUUCUGGUUCAGAUUUGAUCAGUCAUACUCUUCUUCUGUUUCAGCCAAUUCUACACAAUUAUCUCCUUCUGAAGAUGCAAAUUUGUGUAUACUUCUACUCCAUUAACUGUUCAUGACCCCUUAUGGUAUUAGGAUAAUGGUGCAACGCACCACGUCUCUCACGAAGGUUAAAACAUAACUCAAAAGCGCUCUUACACUGGUAAAGAUUCUAUCAAACUUGGCACUGGUUCAUGUAUCUCAAUUUCUUCUAUUGGCUCUACUAGUUUCACUACUCCACACACACAGUCACCUCUUAUUUUACAUUAUCUUCUUUAUGUUCCUUCUAUCAUGAAAAAUCUUUUCAGUGUGUCCAAAUUUGCGCAAGAUAAUCAUGUCUCUUUUGAAUUCGAUGUCGACAGAUACUAUGUAAAAUCAAAGCACACCAAACAGAUUAUUCUUCAAGGCUUUUUUAGCAAUGACUUAUGUUUUUCCUUUGCUUCUUAAUACUUCUUCUAUCACCACUUGUAAUGCUACAUUUUCCUCUUCAAUUUCUGUAUACAAACUCUGGCAUGCAUCUUCGUCCAUUGUAAAUCGUGUUUUACAUACUUAAUAUAUCUUGUAAACAUAUUGGUGAUUUAUGUGAUUCAUGUACUUUAGAUGAAUCCCAUAAAUUUCCUUUCAAAGAUUUCACUACAGUUUAUCACACUCCUUUCAAAGAUUUCACUAUAGAUGCAAGCUCUCGGUAUUAUUUCACCAGAUUAUGCCUUUUUUAUGCACUUUUGGAUGCUCUUGUUAUCCUAUGUUGCGCCUAUAUCACUCACAUAAACUCACUUUACGUUCAACAUUAUGCAUUUUUCUUGGCUACAAUCAACAAUAUAAAGGUUAUAUUUCUGUUGACCAUUCAGGUAAAAGAUAUAUAUCCAGGCAAGUUGCUUUCAACGAAAAUCAAUCUCCAAUCAAACUUGCCUCAAAUCCUUUUCUUCCGACACAAUAAGUUACUAUUAAUAUGCCAUCUUACUGUGGUUUCUCAUAAACAUAUGCCUCAGACUACGUUUCAAGAUGAUAACGGUUUUUCUUCUCCUAACACCACUACUGCUGCAUCAACAAAUCACGAUGCAACUUCUCCUAUCAUGUCAAUGUCAUCACCAACUUCAUCCUCUACUGAUACUCCUGUGAACAAUGCUCCAACUGAGACUUCACCAGGUUCAACGUCCUCUUCGCAGCAUGUCGCGCCUAACACACAUCAUAUAGUAACCCGAUCAGAGACAGGUAUUUUUAAACCAAAACUUUAUAAUACUUAUCUUACUGACAUCCACAUCGAAACUGACGAAGUGAAAGAAGCCUUGUCUCAACCACAAGGGCAUGAUCCUAUGCAAGUUGAAUAUCAAGCACUCGUCCAAAACAACACAUAUGGACUCUUGUUUAAAAUCAUUGGCUGUAAAUGGGUUUUUUAGAAGAAGUACAAUGCGGAUGGAUCUCUGCAAAGAUGAAAGGCUCCUCUCGUUGCAAAAGGAUUUCAUCAGACAUUUGGACUUUAUCACAAUGACACCUUCAGCCUUGUCAUCAAGCAUGCUACCAUUUGAGUUAUAUUUGUUAGAAGUGAACUUUAAGCCUAACUCAACCCCAUAAAACCGGUUUGUAGAGUGAGGUUUGUACUCACUUAUAAACUACGAAUUGAUCUUAUCUCUAGUCGAUGUAGGACUUCCAACACUAUUAACUCUUGUUGUUCCACACAAAUGACUUGUCAACCAAGUUGAUAUUAAUAAUGCGUUUCUUCA